Heterocephalus glaber (naked mole-rat) is the source of this 1260-nucleotide non-coding RNA. NCBI's taxonomy places the organism in Eukaryota, Metazoa, Chordata, Mammalia, Rodentia, Bathyergidae. The record is from RefSeq and is a predicted model, not a curated record.
AGCCGCGCUGGUCUCCAGUGCCUGUGGGCUCUGCUGUCCCAUGCUUUUGAUAACGCUCGCAGGCCCUGGUGUCAGGCCGGGCCCUCCGGGAGACGCAGGCAGGAGGAUCCCAGGUUGAACCCGGCUGGAGCCUCCUCAGCGACCUGGCGAGACCGGCUCAAAAUAACAAAUAAAAAGGGCUGGCUGUGUAGAUCACUGUGAAGCCCCUGAGUUCAGCCCCGGUACCGGCCUCCCCUCAGACUUUUUUUUGUUUCCCUCUUGGUUUGGAUCCACUAAAUUCAUUUCACCUAUGAGUGGAUUCAACCUUCAGCUUCACAGAAGAGUUUGUUCACGUAAGACAUUUAGAACAGAGCCACUUCUGCUAUGCUGUCCGUUUUUACAUCCACGUAAUUUCUGCAGAUAGCUUUCAGGAACGCUGCCGUGUGAAUUCCCCUGGGCUGGCCAGCCGGAUUCUUGCAGUGUUGAAGUUUUAUUGUAUUUUCUAUACCAUCCUCUCUCUGGAUGGAGAUGAAAACUAUAUACAAGUACAUAUAUCAAAACAGCGACAGAAACAAUAACUUUUUCCUUCAGUUCGAGAUCACACCUUGCAUUUGAUCGUCCUUUUCUUCUUCAAUUUGGAAGACAUUCUCAGGUUCUGUGGGCAGGAACUUGGGAGCAGCGCAGCAAGGCCUGGGGUCCCUCGAAGACUGCAGUCAAGACCCUGCGGCCCCCCCGAGGGGCUGCCUAGGACUGCAGGGUGGCAGGGAGGAUGGCUCACGGAGGUGCUGGUGGACCAGAUGCCUCAUUUCUCCACCAAACAAGCGUGGCUGCUGGGCUGCAGGAGUGUCGAGUGUUCUCAGGACCGGCAGGCAGCUGGCUUCUCCCAGAUCAUGAAGGGCAUAAGCCCGGAUGUAUUUCAUGAUGCUAUGUCCUUAAUGGGGGGGCGCAUGUCAUCUACUGGCCCUGUUACUAGCAGUGAUCACUCUGAUCACUUAAGGUGGCAGUAACUUUGACCCUUCAAUUAAGCUGGUGUCUGCCAGGUUUGUCGAGUGUAAAGUUACUCUUCUUCCCUUUAAGUAAUAAGGAUUUUGUGGGUAUAUACUGUAAAAUUAUGUAAAUAACCUCAUCUUUAUGUCAGCAUUUCACCUUCUAAUUUUAGCAUACAUGAAUAAUUCUUGUCUGAAACAGUUAUCACUGUUAUGAUCGCCAGAUGAAUUCUUUCUAAUUCAAUCAUUACUUCUGUAUUCAUGAGCUGGCAUCUAUUAUAAAUAAAAGCUUUCU